GUAUUGGUAGAUGUAGUGGUGUGGGGUAUUAGGUAGAGGUAGUGGUGUGGGGUAUUAGGUAGAUGUAGUGAUGUGGGGGUAUUAGGUAGAGGUAGUGAUGUGGGGGUAUUAGGUAGAGGUAGUGAUGUGGGGGUAUUAGGUAGAGGUAGUGAUGUAGGGGUGUUAGGUAGAGGUAGUGGUGUGGGGGUAUUAGGUAGAUGUAGUGGUGUGGGGUAUUAGGUAGAUGUGGUGGUGUGGGGUUUUAGGUAGAUGUAGGGGUGUAGGGGUAUUAGGUAGAUGUAGGGCUGUGGGUUAGAUGUAAUUGUGUUUGUGGUAUUAGGUAGAUGUAGUGGUGUAGGGGUAUUAGGUAGAUGUAGUUGUGUUUGUGGUAUUAGGUAGAUGUAGUGUUAUUAUGUAGAUGUAGUUGUGUAGGGGUAAUAGGUAGAUGUAGUGGUGUUGGGUAUUAGGUAGAGGUAGUGAUGUAGGGGUAUUAGGUAGAGGUAGUGAUGUAGGGGUAUUAGGUCGAUGUAAUGGUGUAGGGGUAUUAGGUAGAUGUAGUUGUGUUUGUGGUAUUAGGUAGAUGUAGUGUUAUUAUGUAGAUGUAGUUGUGUAGGGGUAAUAGGUAGAUGUAGGGGUAUUAGGUAGAUGUAGGGGUGUUGGCGUAUUAGGUAGAUGUAGGGGUGUAGAGGUAUUAGGUAUAUGUAGGGGUGUAGAGGUAUUAGGUAGAUGUAGUGGUGUUAGGUAGAUGUAGUGGUGUUGGGUAUUAGGUAGAUGUACUGGUGUAGGGGUAUUAGGUAGAGGUAGUGGUGUAGGGGUAUUAGGUAGAUGUAGUGGUGUAGGGGUAUUAGGUAGAUGUAGUGGUGUAGGGGUAUUAGGUAGAGGUAGUGAUGUAGGGGUAUUAGGUAGAGGUAGUGAUGUAAGGGUAUUAGGUAGAUGUAGUGAUGUAGGGGUAUUAGGUAGAGGUAGUGAUGUAGGGGUAUUAGGUAGAGGUAGUGAUGUAGGGGUAUUAGGUAGAUGUAGUUGUGUAGGGGUAUUAGGUAGAUGUAGUGGUGUAGGGGUAUUAGGUAGAGGUAGUGAUGUAGGGGUAUUAGGUAGAGGUAGUUAUGUAGGGGUAUUAGUUAGAUGUAGUGAUGUAGGGGUAUUAGGUAGAAGUACUGAUGUACGGGUAUUAGGUAGAGGUAGUGAUGUGCGGGUAUUAGGUAGAGGUAGUGAUGUAGGGGUAUUAGGUAGAGGUAGUGGUGUAGGGGUAUUAUGUAGAUGUAGUGGUGUAGGGGUAUUAGGUAGAUGUAGUGGUGUAGGGGUAUUAGGUAGAGGUAGUGAUGUAGGGGUAUUAGGUAGAGGUAGUGAUGUAAGGGUAUUAGGUAGAGGUAGUGAUGUAGGGGUAUUAGGUAGAGGUAGUGAUGUAGAGGUAUUAGGUAGAUGUAGUGAUGUAGGGGUAUUAGGUAGAGGUAGUGAUGUAGGGGUAUUAGGUAGAGGUAGUGAUGUAAGGGUAUUAGGUAGAUGUAGGGGUAUUAGGUAGAUGUAGUGGUGUUUGGUAUUAGGUAGAUGUACUGGUGUAGGGGUUUUAGGUAGAUGUAGGUGUUUGUGGUAUUAGGUAGAUGUAGUGGUGUAGGGGUAUUAGGUAAAUGUAGGAGUGUAGGGGUGUUAGGUAGAUGUAGUGGUGUAGGGGUAUUAGGUAGAUGUAGUGGUGUAGAG
Molecule: long non-coding RNA, 1674 nt
Filed under: Salmo salar (Atlantic salmon)
Lineage: Eukaryota; Metazoa; Chordata; Actinopteri; Salmoniformes; Salmonidae
Description: lncRNA (ENSSSAG00000090560.1)
Source: RNAcentral